Long non-coding RNA from Ziziphus jujuba (common jujube), 1730 nucleotides. RefSeq lists it as uncharacterized. NCBI's taxonomy places the organism in Eukaryota, Viridiplantae, Streptophyta, Magnoliopsida, Rosales, Rhamnaceae. The transcript has 2 exons. The record is from RefSeq and is a predicted model, not a curated record.
UUAAGGAAAUAAUGUUUGAAAAACACAACCACGUGUAGCACUGGCAAUAUUAUUAAUAACAAAAAUCUGUCAAACAAUGGACAAAUUUUAAUGAAUUUGCUUUUUCUUUUUUUUUUUCUUUUUUUAUAAAAACUUCAUUUAAAUUAUUAAAUUAUUUUCAUGCCAUUCUUUUCAGACUAUUUGUGUAAUAUAUAUAUAAAAUGUAGAUCACAGAGAUCUGUUUUUCUUUUUCUAUUUUUUUUUUGUCUAAAAAAUUAUUACACUAUGGAUCUAAUAAACAGAUCAACGAAAGACUUUAUGGGAUUGAAAAAUUCUAUUUCUUACCUAGUUGAAACAAUCACAAAACCAUGAGAGACUUCGUUUUAAAGCCAAAAAAAUCACUAUGAAUCAACAAUGAGUUAUAUAUAUAUAUAUAUAUUAAAUUUGUGAAUUAUUUUUAGGAAAAUGUCUGAUAAAUGUUUCUUAAAAAAAUUAAACGUGGAAAGAAGAAAAAAUCCCAUACAUUUGAUAAGAUUUAUAAGCAGAAAAAAACAACAAAAUGUGUUUGGGGUGGUUGAAGAAUUGAUGAAUAAUAAUUGCUAUGUGUUGGAAGCAGUACUACGAAAAUGAAAGGCUGGACCAUCGAAUUUAUGACAAGCAAAUUUAUUGCCACAGCUACCUCCCUGACCACUUGCUAAUAACUACAACGUUGACAUGUGUGCCUCUGCCACCUGGACAGACUUGGCAAUAAAUUUGCCCUUGUGCUCAUAGAAGUUCUUCCCCACUUCCCACAGCCCCGGCCUGUGGACGCUGGGUCGAGUCUUAGGGCCGGUCGGGAAUGCCUGGGGGCAUAGCCAAAAAAAUAUAUAUAUAAUUCAAAUAUAUAUAUAUAUAUAUAUAUAUAUAAUUUUUUUUUUUCAUCUGUUGGAAAAAUAUUCGCGACAUAAGAUUAAAAAAUGAUAAAAUAUCAAAGUUCUAAUAGUGUCACGCUGAUUGAAAACGAGAACUUUAGGGCCUGUUUGGCCAGCUGUUUUCAGAACAGUUUUUUGUUCUUGAAAACAGAAAUUUAUUUCCAAAACAAUUUUAUACUUGUUUGGCCAUUUGUUUCUAAAAACAAGUUCUGAAAACAAGUUAAAAAAAAAAACAAAAUUGGGAAAACAUCAAAAAGAUGUUUCCACCUGUUCUUUCACCUUGGCCUCUCUUGUCUCUCACCUUCGUCGCUCGACCAGCCCCUUCACUGGCUUGCGAAACGUUCACCGCUCGUCGACCCACGCACACCAGCUAAUCUUCAUCGAACAGAUCUCGAAUAGUCAGCCGUGCCUUCAACAAAAAAAGAUCUCUGCUGAAGUUCACCGAUCUCUGCUGAAGUUCACCGAUCAGUAUAUUUGUGCGAUGUCAACUAUGGAAAAUGAUGGUGGUGAUGAUUCAACUCUAUGGCUUGUUGUUAUAGUUAUAGCUUGUUGUACACUACAUAAUUUCAUUCGAAAGUCGGCACAAAAUGAUGUUAUGUUUACACAAUGGGAAGAAGAAGAACAAGAGAUUGAAGAUGAAGAAGCUAGUACAAGUGGAUCAAACAAUAGUAUAGAUUUGUCAGACGAAGCAGCAACAGCUAUGGCAGCUUAUCGCAAUCAGCUUUCACAAGUAAUGUGGCAUGACUAUGUUAUUCAUAUGUAAAAUUAGUAAUUUAAUGGAUAUUUAUAGUUGGAGAUUUUAUAUUAGACUUAUAAAAUUUAAUUUCCUAUUAGCAACAA